UUCAUCAAGAGCAACUGAGGGAUCGGCCCAAAGACGUUGCAGCAACCUUCUAGUAGGAAAGGUGCUAAAUCCGACGAAUCGCGAUUCGAUAGAUGA
Molecule: non-coding RNA, 96 nt
Filed under: uncultured Veillonella sp.
Lineage: Bacteria; Bacillati; Bacillota; Negativicutes; Veillonellales; Veillonellaceae
Description: SAM riboswitch (S box leader)
Rfam family: SAM riboswitch aptamer (S box leader)
About the family: The SAM riboswitch is found upstream of a number of genes which code for proteins involved in methionine or cysteine biosynthesis in Gram-positive bacteria.
Source: RNAcentral